UACGAAGGGGGCUAGCGUUGUUCGGAAUUACUGGGCGUAAAGCGCGCGUAGGCGGUCUUCCAAGUCAGUGGUGAAAGCCCGGAGCUCAACUCCGGAACUGCCAUUGAAACUGUAAGACUUGAGGAUGAGAGAGGUGAGUGGAAUUCCCAGUGUAGAGGUGAAAUUCGUAGAUAUUGGGAAGAACACCGGUGGCGAAGGCGGCUCACUGGCUCAUAUCUGACGCUCAGGCGCGACAGCGUGGGGAUCAAACAGG
This 253-nucleotide ribosomal RNA is filed under the name uncultured bacterium. RNAcentral describes it as "partial 16S ribosomal RNA". It matches the Rfam family "Bacterial small subunit ribosomal RNA", at positions 524 to 776 of the family's 1533-position model. The record is from RNAcentral.